This 473-nucleotide ribosomal RNA is filed under the name uncultured bacterium. Its description in RNAcentral is "partial 16S ribosomal RNA". It matches the Rfam family "Bacterial small subunit ribosomal RNA", at positions 34 to 540 of the family's 1533-position model. The record is from RNAcentral.
AGCGAACGCUGGCGGCAGGCCUAACACAUGCCAGUCGAACGAACCUUUCGGGGUUAGUGGCGGACGGGUGAGUAACACGUGGGAACGUGCCUUUAGGUUCGGAAUAACUCAGGGAAACUUGUGCUAAUACCGAAUGUGCCCUUCGGGGGAAAGAUUAAUCGCCUUUAGAGCGGCCCGCGUCUGAUUAGCUAGUUGGUUGAGGUAAUGGCUCACCAAGGCGACGAUCAGUAGCUGGUCUGAGAGGAUGAUCAGCCACAUUGGGACUGAGACACGGCCCAAAGCCGGAGGGGAGGCAGGGGGGGGGAAUCGCGGUAAAGGGGCGAACGCGUGACGCAACAGGGCCGCGGGAAUGAUGAAGGUCUUAUGAUGGUAAAAUUCUUUCGCCGGGAAUAAUAAUGGCGGGAGCGGGAGAAGAACCCCCGGCUAGCCUCGGGCCAGGAGCCGGUGUUAUGUCGCAGGACAACGCGCCUACC